GAUGAACGCUAGCGACAGGCCUAACACAUGCAAGUCGAGGGGCAGCACGGUGUAGCAAUACACGGGUGGCGACCGGCGCACGGGUGAGUAACGCGUAUGCAACCUGCCUACUACAAGGGGAUAACCCGUUGAAAGACGGACUAAUACCCUAUAACACAGGGAAUCCGCAUGGAUAUAUUUGUUAAAGAUUUAUCGGUAGUAGAUGGGCAUGCGUUCCAUUAGCUUGUUGGUGAGGUAACGGCUCACCAAGGCAACGAUGGAUAGGGGAACUGAGAGGUUGAUCCCCCACACUGGAACUGAGACACGGUCCAGACUCCUACGGGAGGCAGCAGUGAGGAAUAUUGGUCAAUGGACGAGAGUCUGAACCAGCCAAGUCGCGUGAAGGAAGACGGCCCUACGGGUUGUAAACUUCUUUUGUAAGGGAAUAAAUAGUCUUACGCGCUAAGACGUUGCAGGUACCUUACGAAUAAGGAUCGGCUAACUCCGUGCCAGCAGCCGCGGUAAAGUC
Molecule: ribosomal RNA, 508 nt
Filed under: uncultured bacterium
Lineage: Bacteria
Description: bacterial SSU rRNA
Rfam family: Bacterial small subunit ribosomal RNA
Source: RNAcentral